Molecule: ribosomal RNA, 420 nt
Filed under: uncultured bacterium
Lineage: Bacteria
Description: bacterial SSU rRNA
Rfam family: Bacterial small subunit ribosomal RNA
Source: RNAcentral
GGGCCUGCACAAGCGGUGGAGUAUGUGGCUUAAUUCGAUGCAACGCGAAGAACCUUACCUGGCCUUGACAUGCAUCUCUAAGUGUGUGAAAGCACAUGACCCCUCGGGGAAUUUGCACAGGUGCUGCAUGGCUGUCGUCAGCUCGUGUCGUGAGAUGUUGGGUUAAGUCCCGCAACGAGCGCAACCCUUAUGUUUUGUUGCCACUUUCGCUUCGGCGGAAAGCACUCUAAACAGACUGCCUCGUCUCAACGAGGAGGAAGGUGGGGAUGACGUCAAGUCAGUAUGGCCCUUACGGCCAGGGCUGCACACGUACUACAAUGCCCAGUACAAUGGGAAGCAAUACCGCGAGGUGGAGCAAAUCCUCAAAACUGGGCCCAGUUCAGAUUGUAGUCUGCAACUCGACUACAUGAAGUCGGAAUC